Molecule: ribosomal RNA, 468 nt
Filed under: uncultured bacterium
Lineage: Bacteria
Description: partial 16S ribosomal RNA
Rfam family: Bacterial small subunit ribosomal RNA
Source: RNAcentral
GACGAACGCUGGCGGCGUGCUUAACACAUGCAAGUCGAACGGAAAGGCCCGGCUUUUGUGGGGUGCUCGAGUGGCGAACGGGUGAGUAACACGUGAGUAACCUGCCCUUGACUUUGGGAUAACUUCAGGAAACUGGGGCUCAUACCGGAUAGGAGCUCUUGCUGCACGGGGGGGGUUGGAAAGAUUCGGCGGUUGGGGAUGGAAUCGCGGGUUAUCCGCUUGAUUGUGGGGUAGUGGUGUACGAAGGCUGUGAAGGGUAGCCGGCCUGAGAGGGUGAACGGGCACAAUGGGACUGAGAGACGCCGCAGAAUGCUACGGGAGGCAGCAGUGGGGAAUAUUGCACAAUGGGGGGAAGUCUGAUGCAGCAACGUCGGGUGCGGGAUGACGGGCUUCGGGUUGUAAACCGCUGUCGCCUUAGACGAAGCGUGAGUGACGGUAAUGGGUAAAGAAGCACCGGCUAACUACGUG